UUAUGGCUCAGGAUGAACGCUGGCGGCGUGCAUAACACAUUCAAGUCGAACGAAGGACAGAGCUUGCUCUGUACUUAGUGGCGGACGGGCGAGUAACGCGUGAGUAAUCUGCCUCUGUGUGCGGGAUAACAGCUGGAAACGGCUGCUAAUACCGCAUGAUGCAUCGAGACCGCAUGGUCAUGAUGCCAAAGAUUUAUUGCACAGAGAUGAACUUGCGUCCGAUUAGAUAGUUGGCGGGGUAAAGGCCCACCAAGUCUACGAUCGGUAGCCGGACUGAGAGGUUGAACGGCCACAUUGGAACUGAGAUACGGUCCAGACUCCUACGAGAGGCAGCAGUGGGGAAUUUUGGGCAAUAGGCGAAAGCCCUGACCCAGCGACGCCGCGUGAAGGAAGAAGAUCUUCGGAUUGUAAACUUCUGUCAACAGGGAAGAAACAAAUGACGGUACCUGUGGAGGAAGCCACGGCUAACUACGUGCCAGCCGCCGC
Molecule: ribosomal RNA, 486 nt
Filed under: uncultured bacterium
Lineage: Bacteria
Description: bacterial SSU rRNA
Rfam family: Bacterial small subunit ribosomal RNA
Source: RNAcentral